This 182-nucleotide ribosomal RNA is filed under the name uncultured bacterium. RNAcentral's name for it is "partial 16S ribosomal RNA". It matches the Rfam family "Bacterial small subunit ribosomal RNA", at positions 1319 to 1500 of the family's 1533-position model. The record is from RNAcentral.
CAUGAAGCUGGAAUUGCUAGUAAUCGCGGAUCAGCAAGCCGCGGUGAANACGUUCCCGGGCCUUGUACACACCGCCCGUCACACCAUGAGAGUCGGGAACACCCGAAGUCCGUAGUCUAACCGCAAGGGGGGCGCGGCCGAAGGUGGGUCCGGUAAUUGGGGUGAAGUCGUAACAAGGUAGC